GGGCUAUGCAUUGGACUGCUAAUCAAAAGAGUAUCAGCCGAUAAACAAGCAGUUCAGCUGGGCUCUCUCAGGUCUUGGGGAGCUCAUCACUUCAAUGAGAGUGUUCACUAACCGGGAACUCUUCUUUCACACGGAGCAGAAACUGGGUGCCCACCAACUUCCAUCCUUCUCAAGGUCCUCUUUACCUUCCACAUAAACAUUCACACUCCAGCCGAGGCCAAAGCUUGACACGUCUUAACGUGGAUCAGAAGAGGCACCUGAGAACGGCUGCCCCUUGGAGCUGCACCAUGUCAGUGUCGCUGGCUGGUACAGGUAGAAACUCAAUGAUGACAGAAUGACAUUUUUAAAAGGCCUGUGUUGAGAAACGAGCCUAAAGCAUAAGACAGCCCUACAUCUCAAACCCAACCCACUGACAUCAAGUGCACUCUGACUCACAGUGACCUUACCGGACAGAGCAGACUGCUCCUUAGUGUUUCUCACAUGGUAAGUCUCCCCCCUACGCCUCCCAGGUUUGCCCUCUAACAUUGGGCUAAGUCAGUUCCCAUCAAUUCACCUGUGUAAGUAUGUCACUGAAGGGCAUAGCUAUGAGGUUUACAUUUUUUUUUCCUUCGAUGUUAAUUGCCAAAAGAGGCUUAGUAAGCCUUUGUGGGAACAGACAGCUCUGUCUUUCUCCUGUGGAGUGGCUAGUUUGAACCAUGAGCUUUGCAAUGAGCAGCCCAAUGCAUGACCCUCUGGACUAUCAGGGUGCCUUCAGAGCACUUGGCUCUGACUCCCCAGCGCUUUCAAUCAUUGGGAACAGGUAGUUUGUUUUUUUUUAGCCAUUGCCAUGUGCCAGGCACUGUACUAGGCCCCUGACUGGCAUGUCCUCAUUUGCUUCCUGUAGUCAGUCCAUGCAGAGCUGUGGUCCUAGACUACGAACAAGAUCCUGAUCCAGGAUUCAAGCCCAAUGAGCUCCCCCUCCAGUUUGCUCACCCCUCCACCGACACUACUUUUGCUUGUUAGGCUAGUUACAUUUCAGAAGAUCCCGUUGCCUCUUUUCUGU
Echinops telfairi (small Madagascar hedgehog) is the source of this 1042-nucleotide long non-coding RNA. RefSeq lists it as uncharacterized. The transcript has 3 exons. The record is from RefSeq and is a predicted model, not a curated record. NCBI's taxonomy places the organism in Eukaryota, Metazoa, Chordata, Mammalia, Afrosoricida, Tenrecidae.